Molecule: ribosomal RNA, 253 nt
Filed under: uncultured bacterium
Lineage: Bacteria
Description: partial 16S ribosomal RNA
Rfam family: Bacterial small subunit ribosomal RNA
Source: RNAcentral
UACGUAGGGUGCGAGCGUUAAUCGGAAUUACUGGGCGUAAAGCGUGCGCAGGCGGUUUUGUAAGCCAGAUGUGAAAUCCCCGGGCUUAACCUGGGAAUGGCAUUUGUGACUGCAAGGCUUGAGUGCGGCAGAGGAGACUGGAAUUCCUGGUGUAGCAGUGAAAUGCGUAGAUAUCAGGAGGAACACCGAUGGCGAAGGCAGGUCUCUGGGCUGACACUGACGCUCAUGCACGAAAGCGUGGGGAGCAAACAGG